RNAcentral lists this ribosomal RNA (465 nucleotides) under uncultured bacterium. Its description in RNAcentral is "partial 16S ribosomal RNA". It matches the Rfam family "Bacterial small subunit ribosomal RNA", at positions 28 to 507 of the family's 1533-position model. The record is from RNAcentral.
GAUGGACGCUGGCGGCGUGCUUAACACAUGCCAGUCGAACGGAAAGGCUCCUGCUUGCAGGGGUACUCGAGUGGCGAACGGGUGAGUAACACGUGGGUGAUCUGCCCUGCACUUCGGGAUAAGCCUGGGAAACUGGGUCUAAUACCGGAUAGGACCACAUUUUGGAUGGUGUGGUGGAAAGUUUUUCGGUGUGGGAUGAGCUCGCGGCCUAUCAGCUUGUUGGUGGGGUAAUGGCCUACCAAGGCGUCGACGGGUAGCCGGCCUGAGAGGGUGUACGGCCACAUUGGGACUGAGAUACGGCCCAGACUCCUACGGGAGGCAGCAGUGGGGAAUAUUGCACAAUGGGCGCAAGCCUGAUGCAGCGACGCCGCGUGGGGGAUGACGGCCUUCGGGUUGUAAACUCCUUUCGCUAGGGACGAAGCGCAAGUGACGGUACCUGGAGAAGAAGCACCGGCUAACUACGUG